GGGGGCUGGGGGCCGGGGAGGUGCAGGUCAGGGGCCUGCUGGUCAGCCCGGCCCCCC
This 57-nucleotide microRNA precursor is filed under the name Dasypus novemcinctus (nine-banded armadillo). RNAcentral describes it as "miRNA (ENSDNOG00000037514.1)". The record is from RNAcentral. Lineage: Eukaryota; Metazoa; Chordata; Mammalia; Cingulata; Dasypodidae.